Hemicordylus capensis (graceful crag lizard) is the source of this 1195-nucleotide long non-coding RNA. RefSeq lists it as uncharacterized. Lineage: Eukaryota; Metazoa; Chordata; Lepidosauria; Squamata; Cordylidae. The transcript has 3 exons. The record is from RefSeq and is a predicted model, not a curated record.
GGCACGCGUUUCCGAGGGUUGCUCCUCCUUCGCUCCUCUUCCUGGUGUAGCUUUGGGAGUGGUGGUUUGCUUUCUUUUCAGUCUUGUUCAAGUAUGGACAUAAUGAGGUUGAGCCUUACUUCCAAGUUUCAAGGGGUGAGUUAACCAUUGCCUUUCACUGGCCCUUAGGCUAGCCCACCUGUGGAUGUACAGCCAUCAUGGUUCACUCUGAUCUGGUAAAGAUCCUGUACCUGGUGGUGAAACCCUGCCGAUAGCGCUCCAUGAAGUCAGCAUACUCUGGGGCUCGGUGGAAUGGUCCUCGAUCAGUAAGAAGCCAGUCCAGUGGCACUUGGCUGGAGGAGGUGGUGGCUGAGGCUGUGGAGGCAUGCUGUUCGUGUGAUGUGGCAACAGCAGUAGCCAACUCCCAGCACCCCAGAGUCAGGACCAAUACCAAUGACACCCAUGGGACCAUCAGCCAGAGCCCAUUAAAUCGAGCGUCGCGCUGCCACCUCAUGCUUCUCCUGCUCAGCUGGCUUCUUCAUUCUCUCACCACUCCUUCCCGCUCAGAGCUCCUUCAGGAUUUCCUGCACUGAGAAGGCACAAGGAUAAGCAGAUGGAUAUGGGUGUGUUAUCCAAACAAAUACCUUAGCUAUCCCUGGGAAAGGGCGCAGAUAUUUCUAAACUUUAGGUCCAAUCAGACAGUCCAAUACGUUUUGGUGCCUGAGACAGAUAAUCCAAAAGGCACUCCUCCUCAAGGUGGCAAAAAUAUAAUAAUAAAGUAAAUAAUUGAUAUUUGGUGCCUUUUCACAGCAAAUUCUGCCGCCAGAGGAGAAUUGCUUCCAUUUGUUAAAUGGCAGGACCAGCCAUGGGUCGAGUUUCCACUGGGAUAAUCUGACAUGCUGCUUUCGAGAAAAACGUCUCAGCCUAGAACCACUGGAGGAUGCUCUUGGGCAAAGGCAUUCACUGUCUCAAGUGGAGUAGCUACUUGUCCUCACUGUCCCCACAUUGCUUUUUGGCUUGGGUCAUCAGGAGUUUAAAGCCCUGUGUGGGAAGGGAGUGCAGUAAACCCUGUACAGACAGACAGAGGUAGCAGCCAUGGUGGCAGCAGGACACUCUGAGACCAAGGAUGAGGGUUUUGCUUUCCUGUCCUUGUCAACUUUGUUCCCCCGGGAUUGUCUUUGUUUCAAUAAAGUUUUAUUGCCAUUCUUUUUAAAAA